AGGGUGACAGGGGCUUUGAUGGACUACCUGGUCUUCCAGGGAACAAAGGACAUAGAGGAGACAGAGGAAAACCAGGACCCCAUGGUCCACCUGGAGAGCCCGGUCAUAAGGGUUCGGAUGGACCUGUUGGACCAAGAGGGCAACCGGGAGAACCUGUGAG
Molecule: long non-coding RNA, 160 nt
Organism: Sinocyclocheilus grahami
Lineage: Eukaryota; Metazoa; Chordata; Actinopteri; Cypriniformes; Cyprinidae
Exons: 3
Source: RefSeq, a predicted model, not a curated record